GGUCUUAGUGUUUGCAACUUGAGCUCUUCAUAAGAGGUAAUCGAACAAUUGGCCAGGUAAGCAGGUGGGAGGCUCUCCUUACUCAGAGAGUAAGGUCCUAAUUAAGUAACCACCUUUUAUGCUUUCCUAGACACCAAUUAGAUCAAUUAAUCUAAUAUGACUUGCUCAUGUCGGUUCACCCUCGACUUGAUUGAGGAGGUUUUGAUUUAGGUCU
RNAcentral lists this long non-coding RNA (214 nucleotides) under Phoenix dactylifera (date palm). Its description in RNAcentral is "long non-coding RNA (PDAC_LNC022724)". Lineage: Eukaryota; Viridiplantae; Streptophyta; Magnoliopsida; Arecales; Arecaceae. The record is from RNAcentral.